Small nuclear RNA from Vombatus ursinus (common wombat), 103 nucleotides. Lineage: Eukaryota; Metazoa; Chordata; Mammalia; Diprotodontia; Vombatidae. The record is from Ensembl.
UUGCUUCAGUAGCAUAUGUACUAAAAUUGGAAAAAUACAGAGAAGAUUAGCAUGGCUUCUGCACAAGUAUGACAUGCAAAUUCAUGAAGCAUACUAUAUUUUU